RNAcentral lists this transfer RNA (58 nucleotides) under Salmo salar (Atlantic salmon). The record is from Rfam by way of RNAcentral. Lineage: Eukaryota; Metazoa; Chordata; Actinopteri; Salmoniformes; Salmonidae.
UGGCUCAGUUGGUAGAGCAUGGUGUGUGCAAUCCCAGGGUCGUGGGUUCGAUUCCCAC